ACGCUCGACACCUACGGGGGGCAGCAGUGGGGAAUAUUGCACAAUGGGGGAAACCCUGAUGCAGCGACGCCGCGUGGAGGAAGAAGGUCUUCGGAUUGUAAACUCCUGUUGUUGGGGAAAAAAGAGGAUGGUACCCAACAAGGAAGUGACGGCUAACUACGUGCCAGCAGCCGCGGUAAUCUGAGCGGGCUGGCAAGGC
This 199-nucleotide ribosomal RNA is filed under the name uncultured bacterium. RNAcentral's name for it is "partial 16S ribosomal RNA". It matches the Rfam family "Bacterial small subunit ribosomal RNA", at positions 328 to 539 of the family's 1533-position model. The record is from RNAcentral.